GGUUGUAUCUCAGUGGCAGAGCACACACCUGGCAAGUGUGAGGCACUGGGUUAGAUCCUCAGCACCA
Molecule: transfer RNA, 67 nt
Filed under: Ictidomys tridecemlineatus (thirteen-lined ground squirrel)
Lineage: Eukaryota; Metazoa; Chordata; Mammalia; Rodentia; Sciuridae
Also listed under: 1 other name
Description: Spermophilus tridecemlineatus (thirteen-lined ground squirrel) tRNA
Rfam family: tRNA
About the family: Transfer RNA (tRNA) molecules are approximately 80 nucleotides in length.
Source: Rfam by way of RNAcentral